Molecule: ribosomal RNA, 465 nt
Filed under: Vreelandella stevensii
Lineage: Bacteria; Pseudomonadati; Pseudomonadota; Gammaproteobacteria; Oceanospirillales; Halomonadaceae
Description: partial 16S ribosomal RNA
Rfam family: Bacterial small subunit ribosomal RNA
Source: RNAcentral
CCUACGGGCGGCAGCAGUGGGGAAUAUUGGACAAUGGGCGGAAGCCUGAUCCAGCCAUGCCGCGUGUGUGAAGAAGGCCUUCGGGUUGUAAAGCACUUUCAGUGGGGAAGAAAGCCUUGGGGCUAAUACCCUCGAGGAAGGACAUCACCCACAGAAGAAGCACCGGCUAACUCCGUGCCAGCAGCCGCGGUAAUACGGAGGGUGCGAGCGUUAAUCGGAAUUACUGGGCGUAAAGCGCGCGUAGGCGGUCUGAUAAGCCGGUUGUGAAAGCCCCGGGCUCAACCUGGGAACGGCAUCCGGAACUGUCAGGCUAGAGUGCAGGAGAGGAAGGUAGAAUUCCCGGUGUAGCGGUGAAAUGCGUAGAGAUCGGGAGGAAUACCAGUGGCGAAGGCGGCCUUCUGGACUGACACUGACGCUGAGGUGCGAAAGCGUGGGUAGCAAACAGGAUUAGAUACCCGAGUAGUC